AGGGGCCUCAUCUGUCUUGUUCCUCCUGUGGCCUGGGUCCUAGCACCAUGUCUGGUACAGUAUCCUGGUCAGAGUAAAACAUUCCAUGGGAACUCGGGCUGUGAGAAACAUCCUAACCACCUGACUGCAGAAACAUCCUUAUCACAUCCUGCUGGGCAAGGGCCCAACAGCCUGACUUCAGGAACAUCCUUAUCAUCUUCUACUGAGCAGCAAGCUAUACUGUCCAGAGCCCUCCCUCCCAGC
RNAcentral lists this long non-coding RNA (243 nucleotides) under Homo sapiens (human). RNAcentral describes it as "HSALNT0351683". The record is from RNAcentral. Lineage: Eukaryota; Metazoa; Chordata; Mammalia; Primates; Hominidae.